AUGGGAUUGCCUUUGAAACUGAUUGCAUUUGCCAAAUUCAGCCUGCUUUCUUUUUCACUCCUGUCAGAUCCUGAGGGACUGUGCUUUCCCUGGAGCUGGCUGUCAGUGUGAGGUGCCAAAACAGGAAGAGUAAUGAAAGUGUACUCAUCCUAUCUCACAUGUCAGGCAGAGGAAUGUGCAGCAGAAGGAGAUGAUGGCUACAUUUUCCAGAUCCCAAUUUGGCUGGACUGCAGUCACAUCCCAAAUCUGUCUUUCCUCACUGUGCUCUCAAGGAUGAUUAUCUUCCAGAGACUCCAGCAGGACUGA
Molecule: long non-coding RNA, 306 nt
Filed under: Phasianus colchicus (ring-necked pheasant)
Lineage: Eukaryota; Metazoa; Chordata; Aves; Galliformes; Phasianidae
Description: lncRNA (ENSPCLG00000005629.1)
Source: RNAcentral